GACGAACGCUGGCGGCGUGCCUAACACAUGCAAGUCGAACGGGGAAGCGCCGUCCUUUUUGGUGGGUGUGGAUGAGUGGCGAAAGGGUGAGUAACACGUGAGUAACCUGCCCCGUUCUUCGGGAUAACAGCAUGAAAGUUCGGCUAAUACGGGAUAUUCUGGCUCUGUCGCAUCAUGGGUCUGGGAAAGAUAUUGUUUCGGUAGGGGAUGGGCUCGCGGCCGAUCAGGUGGUGGGUGGGGUGGUGGCCUACCAAGGCUGUGACGGGUAGCCGGCCUGAGAGGGUGGACUGUCUCAGCUGGGAGGAGGCGCGGCCACGCCUGCUGUGGGAGGCAGCAGGGAGUACUACUGGACGCUGGAGGGAAGAAUGAUGCAGCGACGCCGCAGGAGUGAUGGAGGCCUGCGGGUUGAGAACCUCUUUCGUGAGUGAAGCAAAGCUGUCUUAUUUGUGGGUGUGUUGACGGUACCUGGAGAAUAAGCGCCGGCUAACUACGUG
Molecule: ribosomal RNA, 494 nt
Filed under: uncultured bacterium
Lineage: Bacteria
Description: partial 16S ribosomal RNA
Rfam family: Bacterial small subunit ribosomal RNA
Source: RNAcentral